RNAcentral lists this long non-coding RNA (244 nucleotides) under Elaeis guineensis (African oil palm). RNAcentral's name for it is "long non-coding RNA (EGUI_LNC061732)". The record is from RNAcentral. Lineage: Eukaryota; Viridiplantae; Streptophyta; Magnoliopsida; Arecales; Arecaceae.
CCAUCUAGUCAGGACUCAUGAUAGAAGAACUGUAUCAUACAUUAACUAUAUCUAGAGAUUUUAUUUCGAUUCUACUGGAUUGUCACUAUAUAUUACUAGAUAUCACUGAUGGAUUGUGAGAGCUCAAUAGAAUCAUUUUGGAUCAAUGAUCUUUAACUUGUUAGAGUUGAACUGUUGUGAUCCACUGAAAGGGGUUUCAGUGAUACCUAUGAUAAAGAUCAUGGUAUAUCUCACUACCAGAUAG